GACGAACGCUGGCGGCGUGCCUAAUACAUGCAAGUAGAACGCUGAAGGAGGAGCUUGCUUCUCUGGAUGAGUUGCGAACGGGUGAGUAACGCGUAGGUAACCUGCCUGGUAGCGGGGGAUAACUAUUGGAAACGAUAGCUAAUACCGCAUAAGAGUAGAUGUUGCAUGACAUUUGCUUAAAAGGUGCAAUUGCAUCACUACCAGAUGGACCUGCGUUGUAUUAGAUUGUUGGUGGGGUAAAGGAUCACCAUGGCGACGAUACGUAGCCGACCUGAGAGGGGGAUCGGCCAGACUGGGAGUGAGACACGGCCCAGACGCCUACGGGAGGCAGCAGUAGGGAAUCUUCGGCAAUGGACGGAAGUCUGACCGAGCAGCGCCGCGUGAGUGAAGAAGGUUGUCGGAUCGUAAAGCACUGUUGUAAGAGAAGAACGAGUGUGAGAGUGGAAAGUUCACACUGUGACGGUAUCUUACCAGAAAGGGACGGCUAACUACGUG
This 495-nucleotide ribosomal RNA is filed under the name uncultured bacterium. Its description in RNAcentral is "partial 16S ribosomal RNA". It matches the Rfam family "Bacterial small subunit ribosomal RNA", at positions 28 to 507 of the family's 1533-position model. The record is from RNAcentral.